This 375-nucleotide RNase P RNA is filed under the name Haloprofundus sp. MHR1. RNAcentral describes it as "Archaeal RNase P". It matches the Rfam family "Archaeal RNase P". From Rfam's summary of the family: Ribonuclease P (RNase P) is a ubiquitous endoribonuclease, found in archaea, bacteria and eukarya as well as chloroplasts and mitochondria. Lineage: Archaea; Methanobacteriati; Methanobacteriota; Halobacteria; Halobacteriales; Haloferacaceae. The record is from Rfam by way of RNAcentral.
GGCAGAGAGAGCCCGACCACCGUGACCCACGGCGCGCUCGCGCGCCGCCGGGACAUGAGGAAAGUCCCCCCACCGUCCGAACAGGUGACCGGGCGCAAGCCCGGAGUCGGAGACGGCUGGCUCUGGAACAGAAACGAGACCCCUCGGUCCGACCGAUGACGUGUGCGAAUCCGACCGUAAGCGAGGAGAGUUAACCCACGGAGGGUGGACGACCGAGAACGGAUGGAACGGCGAAACCUCACCGGUGCAAGUCCGCGCCACGCGGCCGACGCGGCGCGAUUCGUGCGUCGCCCGGCCGCACGGUAGUUCGGACGACGGACGCGGACGCUCAGCCGAAUGUCGGGACGAACAGAAGGGGGCUUACUCCUCUCAGCC